GAUGAACGCUGGCGGCGUGCCUAAUACAUGCAAGUCGAGCGAACAGAUGCUGCUCUUGCUCCUCUGACGUUAGCCGCGGACGGGUGAGUCACACGUGUAUAACCUACCUAUCAUACUGGGAUCACUUCGGGAAUCCGGAGCUAAUACCGUAUAAUAUCUUGAACCGCAUGGUUCAAUAGUGAAAUACGGUUUUGCUGUCACUUCUCGAUGGAUCCGCGCCGCAUUAGCUAGUUGGUAAGUUAACGGCUUACCAAGGCGACGAUGCGUAGCCGACCUGAGAGGGGGAUAGGCGACACGGGAAGUGAGACACGGACAAGGGGACUAAGGGAGGCAGCAGAAGGGAAUGGUCAGCAAUGGGCGAAAGCAUGACGGAGCAACGCGGCGUGAGUGAUGAAGGUCUUCGGAUCGUAAAACUCUGUUAUGAGGGAAGAACAAAUGUGGAAGUAAAUAUGCAGGUAGUGACGGUAACGAAUAAGAAAGCAACGGCUAACUACGUG
Molecule: ribosomal RNA, 497 nt
Filed under: uncultured bacterium
Lineage: Bacteria
Description: partial 16S ribosomal RNA
Rfam family: Bacterial small subunit ribosomal RNA
Source: RNAcentral